UCAAGCUACUAAGAGCUUAUGGUGAAUGCCUUGGUGCCAAGAGGCGAUGAAGGACGUAGUAAGUUGCGAUAAGCCACGGGGAGCCGCAAGCGGGCUUUGAUCCGUGGAUCUCCGAAUGGGACAACCCAGCCAGUGUCAUAACUGGUUAUCGUAGGAUGAAUUCAUAGUCCUCCGAAGCGAAACGUGGUGAAGUGAAACAUCUCAGUAACCACAGGAAAAGAAAACGAAAUGAUUCCGUCAGUAGUGGCGAGCGAAAGCGGAACAGGCUAAACCGGGGAGACUUGUCUUCCCGGGGUUGUGGGACCUUAAUGUGAUAGGCCGAGAGUUAGCUGAAUCUUCUGGAAAGUUGAGCCAAAGACCGUGACAGCCGGGUAAGCGAAAACUCAAAGCCAUCUAUAGGUAUCCCAAGUAACACGGUGCACGUGAAACUCUGUGUGAAUCUGUGCGGACCACCGCAUAAGCCUAAAUACUCCUUGGCAACCGAUAGUGAACUAGUAACGCGAGUGAAAGGCGAAAAGAACCCUUGUUAAGGGAGUGAAAUAGAACCUGAAACCAUAUGCUUACAAUGUGUUGGAGCCGCGUAAGCGGUGACAGCUUGCCUUUUGCAUAAUGAGUCUGCGAGUUAUUGUCAGUGGCCAGCCUAAGUCUUUUUAAGAUGGAGGCGAAGGGAAACCGAGUGCGAAUAGCGCGACCAGUCGCUGGCAAUAGACCCGAAGCGGAGGUGAUCUACUCUUGAGCAGGUUGAAGUUUGGGUAACACCAAAUGAAGGACCGAACUCGUGGAUGUUGAAAAAUCCUGAGAUGACUUGAGAGUAGGAGCGAAAGACUAAUCAAACCCCGUGAUAGCUGGUUCUCUCCGAAAUCGCUUGAGGGCGAGUCUUAUGGAAGUUCCCGGCGGAGGUAGAGCACUGAAUGGCUUAGGGGCCCCACCAGGCUGCCAAAACCAAUCAAACUCCGAAUUCCGUCGGUCUGUAUCAUAGGAGUCAGGCUGCGAGGGAUAAGCUUCGUAGCCGAGAGGGCAACAGCCCAGACCAUCAGCUAAGGUGCCUAAAUGUGAUUAAGUGGAAAGGAUGUGACUUUGCUUAGACAGUGAGGAUGUUGGCUUAGAGGCAGCCAUCAUUUAAACAGUGCGUAAUAGCUGACUCAUCGAGCGAGGUCGCGCCGAAAAUGAUUGGCGAUCAAAUCACAUACCGAAGCUAUGGAUUCCAGAGAUUUUCGAAUCUUUGGAGUGGUAGGAGAGCGUAAUCAGUGCAGCGAAGCCGAACGGAAACGGACGGUGGAGCGCUGAUUAGUGAGAAUGCAGACACGAGUAGCGAUAAAGCAGGUAAGAAUCCUGCUCGCCGUAAACCCAAGGUUACCUGGGCUAGGUUCGUCCUCCCAGGGUUAGCCGGGAGCUAAGAUGAGGCCGUAAGGCGUAAUCGAUGCACAUCAGGUUAAAUAUUCCUGAGCCCGCCGGGAUUAAGGCUGCGAUAGACGCAUGGGAAGACAUCAACUAGACAAUCGAAUGUUGAGCCUAGGCUUCGGCCGAAGCGUAUUGGUGGGUUUCUGUGCCUAGAAAACAUUGCAGUUGUUUCCCCGACGGCCCGUUCCGUAAACCGACACAGGUGGGUGAGUGUAAAUGCACUCAGGCGCGCGAGAGAAACCUCUCUAAGGAACUCGGCACAUUAGCCUCGUAACUUCGGGAAAAGAGGUGCUCACUUCGGUGAGCCACAGUAAAUUGCGUUUAGCGACUGUUUAACAAAAACACAGCUCUCUGCUAAGUCGUUAAGACGACGUAUAGGGAGUGACAAGUGACCAAUGCGGAAAGAUUAAGAGAUUUUGUUAGCCGCAAGGCGAAGCUCGGUCUUUAAGUCCCCGUGAAUGUCGGCCGUAACUAUAACGGUCCUAAGGUAGCGAAAUUCCUUGUCGGGUAAGUUCCGACCUGCACGAAUCGUGUAACGAGUUGACCGCUGUCUCAACGAGGAGCUCAGCGAAGUUGUAGUGGCGGUGAAGAUGCCGCC
This 1999-nucleotide ribosomal RNA is filed under the name Spirostomum semivirescens. Its description in RNAcentral is "bacterial LSU rRNA". It matches the Rfam family "Bacterial large subunit ribosomal RNA", at positions 3 to 2066 of the family's 2925-position model. Lineage: Eukaryota; Ciliophora; Heterotrichea; Heterotrichida; Spirostomidae. The record is from RNAcentral.